UCUUAAAGUGGGUGUAUAAUCCAGUGUAGGUGGGUUUCUGACAACACCUGACAUCAAAAUAUUUUUCUUCAUUGAAAACAUAUGUCAUAAGAAAGGAUAGAGCAGAGCAUUGUUGGCUUUCACAGGUAUUAAAGCAUGUCAUUGUGUAUUUUCUGAAAGCAACAGAUAUUUUUUUAUUAUUAUUUUGGAGUGGCAUGGUGUGGACAGAGAGUAAAAUGACACAGGAGAGGACUGGUCGAGGGGGGAUAGCACCAGAUACUGAAGUAGUGGCAAGAUACAACUAUGAUGCAACAUCUGAAAUAGAUUUGUCAUUUCAAAAGGGUGACAUUAUGACAAUUAUAAAAGCAACUUCGGAUCCAAAUUGGUUACGUGCUCGACAUGCUGAUGCAAGGGAGGGUUUUAUUCCUGCCACCUAUAUUCAAAGGAGAGCGGAGGUGAAGUUAAAUGCUAUGCCGU
This is a long non-coding RNA of Limulus polyphemus (Atlantic horseshoe crab), 456 nucleotides long. RefSeq lists it as uncharacterized. NCBI's taxonomy places the organism in Eukaryota, Metazoa, Arthropoda, Merostomata, Xiphosura, Limulidae. The record is from RefSeq and is a predicted model, not a curated record. The transcript is spliced from 4 exons.